CGGCGACGGGUGAGUAACGCUGGGUAACUACCCUGUACACACGGAUAACAUACCGAAAGGUAAUGCUAAUACGGGAUAAUGUAUUUGAGAGGCAUCUCUUGAAUAUCAAAGGUGAGCCAGUACAGGAUGGACCCGCGUCUGAUUAGCUAGUUGGUAAGGUAACGGCUUACCAAGGCGACGAUCAGUAGCCGACCUGAGAGGGUGAUCGGCCACAUUGGAACUGAGACACGGUCCAA
Molecule: ribosomal RNA, 236 nt
Filed under: uncultured bacterium
Lineage: Bacteria
Description: partial 16S ribosomal RNA
Rfam family: Bacterial small subunit ribosomal RNA
Source: RNAcentral